UAAUCACAUGUUCUCAUGUUGUUCAAUUGCAGGCUGGCAGAAGUCAUCGUUGUAUCCUGGUGAGUAUGUUGCACUGAAGAUGAGUCUAAGAUAGACAGUUAAGCUCGUAAAUUCUAUAAAACAUUGGGCUACUAACUACCACAUGACAGAGAAAUACAUACAUACAUAUAUAUAUAUAUAUAUAUAGAGAGAGAGAGAGAGAGAGAGAAGUGUAUGUAUAUAUAUGUGCUUGCAACUUCUGGUCCAUAGAAAACAUAGCAAGAAAGAUAAUUUUUUAGUGUUUUUCUUUUCGCCUUUUCUCACCUGCCUCUCACAAGACAGAAGUUAAUUAAACCAGAUAUUAAGAAAUGAAAAAAGUAUAAUUUUCUCUUUUGUGAUUUUUAUUCAUUCUCACUAUAUUACAACUUCAGUUCCUUGCCUAACUCAAAAACAUAAAUUUUUUUCUCUAAUUUUUUCCACCGGUAUUGGAUUUUAUCAAAUGAUUUUUCUGUGCCUAUUGAGAUGAUUAUGCUAUGCUGUCCUUUAUUUUAUUAGUAUGGUUUAUUAUAUGAAUUGAUUUUUACAUGUUAAGCUGAUCUUGCAUUCUGGGAACUAAUCCCACUUGGCGGUGUGUGUAAUCAUUUUUGCAUGGCUGUUAUAUUAAAUUUACUAGUAUGUUAUUGAGAGUUUUGCAUCUGUAUUCGUGAAGGAUAUUUGUGAUGUCUUUGGUUUUAGUACCAGGGUGAUACUAGCCUCAGGAUGAUAAGGGAAAUAUUCUACCCACUUCUAUUUUCUAGAAGAUUUUGUUGAAGCUGGUAUUUUCUGUCCUUUAAAGGUUUGAUAAAACUCACCAGUAAAAUCAUCUGGGCCUGGGAAUGAAUUCGCAUAAAUUUUCAAUUCAAUUAUUUUACUUGUUAUAAGUCUUUCCAGAUUUUCUAUUUCUUAAGCCAUUUUUAGUAAUUUGCGUAUCUUGGAGAAUUUGUGUAGUUCGUCUAAGUUUAAUUUGUCAGCUAUGGAUUUUAAUAGAAGUUUCAUUUGAGCUUUCUAAAUUCUGUAGAUUCAAUAGUGAUCUCAUCAAUAUGUGGUUUCUCAUUCUUAUUGAGCAAUCUAGUAAAAUUUGCUGAUUUCCUAAAAAAGCAAAAUCUGUUUCAGUGAUUUUUUUCCUAAUAAAUUUUGUUUUCUUUCAUUGAUUUCUAACCUAAUCUUUAUUAUUUCAUUAUUUGAUUGCUCUAAGCUUCGUUCACUCUUCUCUUUUCAGUCUUUUCAUGGAGAAACUUAGGCUAUUGGUUUAAGAUAAUACUUUUUCUCUACUUUGGACAAUUCAAGCUCCAAAUUUCCCUGUAGGUAUUACUUUUAGCUGCAUCCAAUAAAGUUUGGUAGAUAGUGUUCUCAUUUUAAUUCAAUUCAAAAUAUUUUUAAAAUUUUCUUUUGAUUUUUUUAUCCACAGAUUGUUUAUAAAUAUAUCAAUAUCCAAAUAUUGCUAAAUAAGAAAUUUUCUUCUUUUUUGAUUCCUAAUUUAAUUUUAUUGUAACCAGAGAUCAUCUUUUUUACAGCUGUCUUUUUAUUAAUCGCUUUAAAUAUUUUUUCAUGAAUGAGCGUUUCUCAGUUUGAUGUGUGCCUUUGUCAAUUUCCACCAUUGCAAAGUGAUCAUUUUUUUAUAAUUUUUCCAGUUUUAAUUGUUGCUUUUGGGGAUAGGAUUUAGGCUUCUCAUUCAUUCCCUUCCAGUUAGUUUCAUGCAUCAAUAACUAUUUCCUAAGUAGAACUCUAGAUAUAUUUGUCUAGCGUUUUUCCCUAUAUGUCUUCUGUAUGGUUGCUCACUUGAAGCUACCCAGUAUAACUGUAAAAAUUCCAUCAUCUUGAUCUUUGCUUAUUCUUGACUUUCUUAAGUCAUUUUGUUCAAUAAAGAAAUUCCACUAGUGCCUUAUGCUAAAAUUGCACAUUUAAUUUCAUUUCUUAUUUUAGGUGACCUAUGAAAGCCAUUGUCAUACUUGUUCUAAAAAGGCCAAGAUUGUAAAUAUUUUAAAGUUUAUGGGCCAUAUGGUCUCUGUCACAAUUACUCAACUGUGCCUUUUUAGCACAAAAGCAACCAUAGACAAUGCAUAAAGAGAUAGCAUGGUUGUGUUACAAUAAAACUAUUUACACUGACAGAUGGGCUGGAUUUGUCUCCUGGACUAACACAGGAACUGACUCUGGAUCUAGAAAAAGUCACUUUUAGAACCCUGAAAAAUCCACCCAUUUCUGGAGUUUUUCAUUUAUUUUGAUUAUGUUUUAUAUUAAAUAUGUAUUUAAAAGACAAAUAGUUCUUAAAAUAAAUGGUAAUAACAGAUCCAGUGGAUACUCUCUUUUCAAGUUCAUUCCUAUAGAUCCUGUUUAGGGCACAAGAUAUAUUGUCUAAAUGAUUAUAGAAAAAAAGUUUUAGAACUGUUUUGUCUCUUCUUAUCAUGGCUGUCUCUAUAUGCAGUCAGGUUUAUCUGUUUCGUCACUCUUACCACCUAAGCAUUGAACUAAGACUGCACUUUUUAAUUGUUGGUUGCAGUUUUGCACUUUCAUUUAUUAUGGCACUAUCUGCAUUGAGCAGUGUAAUGAACUUUAAUUUUUAUAAAAAUCAACUCAUAUCUCUCUGGUUUAACCUCUUGCAUACAAAUUAAUAUGAGUGUAUCUAGGUCUGUGAUUCUCCUGGGCAACUCUAUUCAAAAUAGUAGCUCUGAGAACUAGUUUUUUUCCAGUCUUCUGUCUUCUCCAUUUCUAGGGCCUUAUAAUUCUGGCAUUGGGUGGGAAAGUGUUAGAAUGGGAAUGAAAAAAAAAUCAAGUGAACUACUUUAUUGUCCAACCUAGAAAUGAUAUGGUUGCCUGCUGAGCACAUUGUAAUGACCAUAACUCAGUUGUAUCAUCUCACCUAAAGACGAUGAAGGUGGUGAGGGUUGGUAUGUAAUUCUACUCUUUUUUAAGAAGAGGAUAACUGCUUGUAGUCUGCACUACAUAAUAUAUAAUGGAGGAGUUCCCGUUGUGGUGCAGUGGUUAACGAAUCCGACUAGGAACCAUGAGGUUGCGGGUUCAGUCCCUGCCCUUGCUCAGUGGGUUAACGAUCCGGCGUUGCCGUGAGCUGUGGUGUAGGUUGCAGACGCAGCUCGGAUCCCGCAUUGCUGUGGCUCUGGCGUAGGCCGGUGGCUACAGCUCCGAUUCAACCCCUAGCCUGGGAACCUCCAUAUGCCACGGGAGCGGCCCAAGAAAUAGCAACAACAACAACAACAACAACAACAAAAAGACAAAAGCCAAAAAAAAAAACAAAAGAAAAAAAAUAGAUAAGUGAAUGGAUAUAUUAGGUAAGUGAAUGGAUAUAUUAGGUAAGUGAAAGGGCUGAGUGUAGACCACUCUUUCAAAGGAAACUGUCUGUCAAGGGAAGACAAAAGACAGCAGAAUCUGUGACAGAAUGCAGGUUAGAAGGAAGGAAUUUAGUUUGUGCUUGUUUUGAUUGCUUUGCUUACUUUUGUUUUGUUUUAAAAUGAGAAGCACCAAAAAGUAUGUUUAUGCAGAAAGGAGAUUGGAGAGUGAGAGAUGGAAGUGAUUAGAGAGAAGCUACCACGUGAAAUGAUUAUGCCUGGAAAGAAUGGAGAUGGUGAUAUUCAAGCCCACAAAUGAAGACUGCAUAAGAGAACACAAGGUGUAAAAGGUCUUUAAGGGAAAAGAACAGCAUUGCCAAAUCAUGGUUUAAAAUAUUCACUCAGGCUGCAUUUAGGCGUUGACUAAAAUAACCAGCAUAAGUGAUGGAUCCAGUGGAGAGUUAAUGCCACUGGAGGCCAAGACCCUACAAAACUGGGGGAGAUAUUAUGAAAGCAAAGGGAACAGCAGGCUCUGGAGAAGAGGAACACCUCUGAGUGCCUGAGAUGAUGAGAAAUUACAGGAACCACGGAAUUGUUUGUGCAGUUAAAUCGUAAAAAUUCUUCCAGUGAUUUUUGCUUAUCAGUUAAUUAUGGUCUGGAUUUGUCACCUUUGGUCUUUUCGAGAGGGGAGCUCGCACAUUACUAUGUCCCACAGGUUUGUAUCUAAUUAUCGCAACCCCAGACUUAGCCCUGAUUCAUGCUCCAUUACUAACCACCAGUUACUAACAAUCUCCACAGCCAAUGUUAUACAGAAACAAUCACCCAGCAUUAUGUGGGGUCCUUGCAUAGAGUUUCUCUUUAAUCUUUCUGAAAGUCCCUCUGACCUGUAUAUUUGUUCAUUAGGUCCUUUUCAAAUCCUUCCUCUAAUGCUCUUGGGUACCAUUUUUGUCAUGACUUUGCCUCUGAAAUGAACCAAUAUUUUAUUUUAUUUUUAUGAACCCUAGAAGAUUCUCUAAAUUUUCAUCAAUGAAACACAAAAGGUUUAUGCACCAAAAUACUCUCCCAGCAGUAAAAACAAUACCUACCCCUCCUCAGCCUCAUGGACUAAAUGACAAAGGUGAACUGAUUUAUCAGUAAGUCAUUAGUUGUGGCUGAUUUAUUUCUGCAAUCAUUCUUAUCUGGGCAAUAAAAGCUUCUGAAUAACUUUCUUUUUUUUUUUUUUCUAAGGUGAUGUGUUCAAAGAUCAGCAACAAACCACGAAGGGAUGAAAGAGAAAGAGAAACACAGAAACACAAGUUCCUUAUUACACUAGGUAGAACAUUCAUGGAAAGAGAAUGGAGAUGGGAAAAUCAGUGAACUUUGGGAAAAGAAGAUGUAUGGAUUAUUUUAUCUGAGUCACUUUGAAAACAUAAGUGACAAGAGAGUUUAAAAGUGCAUUUCGUUUAGUAGGUUUUUACUCUCUUUCACACUACGCAAGCACGUAUAAACGAACAAAACUAAAAGAAGCUGGAUAUCAAGGAAACCGGUUUCUGAGCAUUAGAAGGGAAAAAACAAAUGGUUGUCCUUUCAUUUGGUAUGUGAUUUUAAUAUGUUUUUGGAAAUAUAUUUUGAGAGCAACAUGUGCACU
This 4926-nucleotide long non-coding RNA is filed under the name Sus scrofa (pig). RNAcentral describes it as "lncRNA (ENSSSCG00000045043.2)". Lineage: Eukaryota; Metazoa; Chordata; Mammalia; Artiodactyla; Suidae. The record is from RNAcentral.